This 253-nucleotide ribosomal RNA is filed under the name uncultured bacterium. Its description in RNAcentral is "partial 16S ribosomal RNA". It matches the Rfam family "Bacterial small subunit ribosomal RNA", at positions 524 to 776 of the family's 1533-position model. The record is from RNAcentral.
GACAGAGGAUGCAAGCGUUAUCCGGAAUUAUUGGGCGUAAAGAGUACGUAGGCGGCUUAUCAAGUCCCGGGUUAAAUCCCACGGCUUAACUGUGGACAGGCCCUGGAAACUGAUAGGCUGGAGUGUGGUAGGGGUAGCGGGAAUUCCCGGUGUAGCGGUGAAAUGCGUAGAGAUCGGGAAGAACACCUGUGGCGAAAGCGCGCUACUAGACCACAACUGACGCUGAGGUACGAAAGCUAGGGGAGCGAAUGGG